UGUCUCAGAAGACACUAGAAAGGGCGUUGGCGAAUCAUCUCGCAAUCAAGUUGAGCAAUUCUAGCCUUCCUAGUAGUACUUUGUUCGAUAUUUUUGUAGGGGUUCUUGAAGAGAAUCGAGACAUCAUUAGUGCGGUGAAGGAGGAUUUGAUAGCUGUGAAGGAAAGAGAUCCGGCGUGCAUAAGCUACGUGCACUGUUUCUUGAAUUUCAA
Molecule: unclassified non-coding RNA, 211 nt
Filed under: Hevea brasiliensis (rubber tree)
Lineage: Eukaryota; Viridiplantae; Streptophyta; Magnoliopsida; Malpighiales; Euphorbiaceae
Source: RNAcentral